This 157-nucleotide ribosomal RNA is filed under the name Neofusicoccum parvum. RNAcentral's name for it is "5.8S ribosomal RNA". It matches the Rfam family "5.8S ribosomal RNA". Rfam says of the family: 5.8S ribosomal RNA (5.8S rRNA) is a component of the large subunit of the eukaryotic ribosome. It is transcribed by RNA polymerase I as part of the 45S precursor that also contains 18S and 28S rRNA. The record is from RNAcentral. Lineage: Eukaryota; Fungi; Ascomycota; Dothideomycetes; Botryosphaeriales; Botryosphaeriaceae. RNAcentral also lists the same sequence under 4 other names.
AAAACUUUCAACAACGGAUCUCUUGGUUCUGGCAUCGAUGAAGAACGCAGCGAAAUGCGAUAAGUAAUGUGAAUUGCAGAAUUCAGUGAAUCAUCGAAUCUUUGAACGCACAUUGCGCCCCUUGGUAUUCCGAGGGGCAUGCCUGUUCGAGCGUCAU